RNAcentral lists this ribosomal RNA (427 nucleotides) under uncultured Pseudomonadota bacterium. Its description in RNAcentral is "bacterial SSU rRNA". It matches the Rfam family "Bacterial small subunit ribosomal RNA", at positions 355 to 774 of the family's 1533-position model. Lineage: Bacteria; Pseudomonadati; Pseudomonadota. RNAcentral also lists the same sequence under 1 other name. The record is from RNAcentral.
UGGGGAAUAUUGGACAAUGGGGGCAACCCUGAUCCAGCAAUGCCGCGUGUGUGAAGAAGGCCUUCGGGUUGUAAAGCACUUUUAUCGGGAACGAAACAUUGUCGGCCAAUACCCGGCAAGACUGACGGUACCCGAGGAAUAAGCACCGGCUAACUCCGUGCCAGCAGCCGCGGUAAUACGGAGGGUGCAAGCGUUAAUCGGAAUUACUGGGCGUAAAGCGUGCGCAGGCGGUUUGUUAAGUCCGUUGUGAAAGCCCCGAGCUCAACUUGGGAAUUGCAGUGGAUACUGGCAGGCUGGAGUACGGUAGAGGAAGGUGGAAUUCCCGGUGUAGCAGUGAAAUGCGUAGAGAUCGGGAGGAACACCAGUGGCGAAGGCGGCCUUCUGGACCAGUACUGACGCUCAUGCACGAAAGCGUGGGGAGCAAACA